GCCCAGCUGACAAGUUUCAAAUAAGACGAAAUGCGCUUCCUGGAU
RNAcentral lists this non-coding RNA (45 nucleotides) under Schistosoma curassoni. Lineage: Eukaryota; Metazoa; Platyhelminthes; Trematoda; Strigeidida; Schistosomatidae. The record is from RNAcentral.